Molecule: ribosomal RNA, 501 nt
Filed under: uncultured bacterium
Lineage: Bacteria
Description: bacterial SSU rRNA
Rfam family: Bacterial small subunit ribosomal RNA
Source: RNAcentral
AGAGUUUGAUCAUGGCUCAGGAUAAACGCUGGCGGCGUGCAUGAGACAUGCAAGUCGAACGGACGACUCGAGGCUUGCUUCGAGUCGUUAGUGGCGGACGGCUGAGUAACGCGUGGGUGACCUGCCCCGAAGUGGGGAAUAACUGCCCGAAAGGGUGGCUAAUACCGCAUGUGGUGAUGCGUUCAAUCGCAUCAGUAAAGCCGCAAGGCGCUUCGGGAGGGGCCUGCGUCCGAUUAGCUCGUUGGUGGGGUAACGGCUCACCAAGGCGACGAUCGGUAGGUGGUCUGAGAGGACGAUCACCCAGACUGGGACUGAGACACGGCCCAGACUCCUACGGGAGGCAGCAGUCGGGAAUUUUGCGCAAUGGACGAAAGUCUGACGCAGCAACGCCGCGUGAGGGAUGAAGGCCUUCGGGUUGUAAACCUCUUUUGUCAGGGACGAUGAUGACGGUACCUGACGAAUAAGCCACGGCUAACUACGUGCCAGCAGCGGCGGUAAUUC